GCAUUUAGGCUGUCCCUCACCAAUCUUGUCUGAUCUUCAAAGCUAAGCAGGGCUAGGCUUAAUUACUAUUUAUAUAGGAGACCUCCUGGGAAUAUCAGGUCCUGCAUGGU
This 110-nucleotide ribosomal RNA is filed under the name Salvator merianae (Argentine black and white tegu). Lineage: Eukaryota; Metazoa; Chordata; Lepidosauria; Squamata; Teiidae. The record is from RNAcentral.